CAAACUGGGAUUAGAUACCCCACUAUGCCUAGCCCUAAAUCUAGAUACCCACAUACUUAUGUAUCCGCCUGAGAACUACGAGCACAAACGCUUAAAACUCUAAGGACUUGGCGGUGCCCCAAACCCACCUAGAGGAGCCUGUUCUAUAACCGAUAAUCCACGAUCUACCCAACCACCCCUUGCCAACACAGCCUACAUACCGCCGUCGCCAGCCCACCUUAAUGAAAGAACAACAGUGAGCUCAAUAGCCGCCACUAAUAAGACAGGUCAAGGUAUAGCCUAUGGGAUGGAAGAAAUGGGCUACAUUUUCUAAAAUAGAACAAACGAAAAAGGACAUGAAACCUGGUCCUUGGAAGGAGGAUUUAGCAGUAAAAUGGGAUCACUUUGCCCACUUUAAGAUGGCCCUGAGGCACGUACACACCGCCCGUCACCCUC
This 435-nucleotide ribosomal RNA is filed under the name Coturnix coturnix (Common quail). RNAcentral's name for it is "partial 12S ribosomal RNA". It matches the Rfam family "Bacterial small subunit ribosomal RNA", at positions 768 to 1404 of the family's 1533-position model. The record is from RNAcentral. Lineage: Eukaryota; Metazoa; Chordata; Aves; Galliformes; Phasianidae. RNAcentral also lists the same sequence under 1 other name.